UAGGGAAUCUUCGGCAAUGGGGGCAACCCUGACCGAGCAACGCCGCGUGAGUGAAGAAGGUUUUCGGAUCGUAAAGCUCUGUUGUAAGAGAAGAACGUGUGUGAGAGUGGAAAGUUCACACAGUGACGGUAACUUACCAGAAAGGGACGGCUAACUACGUGCCAGCAGCCGCGGUAAUACGUAGGUCCCGAGCGUUGUCCGGAUUUAUUGGGCGUAAAGCGAGCGCAGGCGGUUUAAUAAGUCUGAAGUUAAAGGCAGUGGCUUAACCAUUGUUCGCUUUGGAAACUGUUAAGCUUGAGUGCAGAAGGGGAGAGUGGAAUUCCCUGUGUAGCGGUGAAAUGCGUAGAUAUAUGGAGGAACACCGGUGGCGAAAGCGGCUCUCUGGUCUGUAACUGACGCUGAGGGUCGAAAGCGUGGGGAGCAAACAGG
Molecule: ribosomal RNA, 429 nt
Filed under: bacterium
Lineage: Bacteria
Description: partial 16S ribosomal RNA
Rfam family: Bacterial small subunit ribosomal RNA
Source: RNAcentral